UACGGGGGGAGCAAGCGUUGUUCGGAUUUACUGGGCGUAAAGGGCGCGUAGGCGGCUAGAUGUGUCAAAGGUGAAAUCCCUCGGCUCAACUGAGGAACUGCCUUUGAAACUGUCUGGCUUGAGGCCGGGAGAGGGUAGCGGAAUUCCCAGUGUAGCGGUGAAAUGCGUAGAUAUUGGGAGGAACACCAGUGGCGAAGGCGACUACCUGGCCUGUUCUUGACGCUGAGGCGCGAAAGCUAGGGGAGCAAACGGG
This 253-nucleotide ribosomal RNA is filed under the name uncultured bacterium. RNAcentral describes it as "partial 16S ribosomal RNA". It matches the Rfam family "Bacterial small subunit ribosomal RNA", at positions 524 to 776 of the family's 1533-position model. The record is from RNAcentral.